CCUACGGGUGGCAGCAGUGAGGAAUAUUGGUCAAUGGGCGCAAGCCUGAACCAGCCAAGUUGCGUGAGGGAUGACGGUCCUAUGGAUUGUAAACCUCUUUUGUCGGGGAGUAAGGCCCGCCACGUGUGGCGUGAAGGAGAGUACCCGAAGAAAAAGCAUCGGCUAACGCCGUGCCAGCAGCCGCGGUAAUAGGGAGGAUGCGAGCGUUAUCCGGAUUUAUUGGGUUUAAAGGGUGCGUAGGCGGAAGGUUAAGUCAGCGGUAAAAUGUCGGUGCUCAACACCGGCCUGCCGUUGAAACUGGUCUUCUUGAGUGAGCGAGAAGUAUGCGGAAUGCGUGGUGUAGCGGUGAAAUGCAUAGAUAGCACGAAGAACUCCGAUUGCGAAGGCAGCAUACCGGCGCGCAACUGACGCUGAGGCACGAAGGCGUGGGGAUCGAACAGGAUUAGAUACCCCAGUAGUC
Molecule: ribosomal RNA, 460 nt
Filed under: uncultured bacterium
Lineage: Bacteria
Description: partial 16S ribosomal RNA
Rfam family: Bacterial small subunit ribosomal RNA
Source: RNAcentral